GUAACAGCUCACUAGUCGAAUGACUCUGCGCCGAUAAUUUACCGGGGCUAAGCAUGACACCGAAGCUAUGGACAGGAAUGUGGUAGGGGAGCAUUGCAUGCAGCGGAGAAGCAUGACCGUAAGGGCAUGUGGAGCGCAUGGAAGAGAGAAUGCCGGCGUGAGUAGCGGCACGUGGGUGAGAAUCCCACGCACCGAUGGCCCAAGGUCUCCAGAGGAAGGCUCGUCCUCUCUGGGAUAGUCGGGACCUAAGGCGAGGCCGAAAGGCGUAGCCGAUGGACGACGGGUGGAUAUUCCCGUACCCGAUGUGUGGCGAUGGAGUGACGGAGAAGGCUCAGGCAACCAGCUGCUGGAAUAGCUGGGGCAAGCGAGAUACCUGCGCACCAGGGAAAUCCGGUGCGCAUAAGGGGAAGGCGCGAAGCAUACGGAAAGCUGCGGCAAGUACGGAAGAGCUGAGAGCAGGCUUCCAGGAAAAGCUUCUAGCACAACACGCAUCGGCCCGUACCGAAAAUGGACACACAUGGGCAAGGAGAGAAUCCUGAGGUGAGCGAGAGAACUAUAGCUAAGGAACUCUGCAAAAUGACCCCGUAACCUAGGGAGAAGGGGUGCUCCAGAAAUGGAGCCGCAGUAAAACGGCCCAAGCGACUGUUUACCAAAAACACAGCUCUCUGCGAAGGCGCAAGCCGAAGUAUAGGGGGUGACGCCUGCCCGGUGCUGGAAGGUCAAGGGGAGCUGUCAGCGCAAGCGAAGCAGCGAGCCGAAGCCCCAGUAAACGGCGGCCGUAACUAUAACGGUCCUAAGGUAGCGAAAUUCCUUGUCGGGCAAGUUCCGACCCGCACGAAAGGCGUAACGAUUUGGGCGCUGUCUCAGCUGUAGACUCGGUGAAGUCUUAGUACCUGUGAAGAUGCAGGUUGCCCGCGACUAGACGGAAAGACCCCAUGGAGCUUCACUGCAGGUUGACAUUGGGCUUGGAUGCAUGAUGUACAGGAUAGGUGGGAGGCUGAGAGCCGUGCGCGCCAGCGUACGGGGAGCCGCUGUUGGGAUACCACCCUUCAUGCAUCUAGGUCCUAACCGGAGGCAACGGGCCACGGGACAGUGUCAGUCGGGCAGUUUGACUGGGGCGGUCGCCUCCCAAAGAGUAACGGAGGCGCCCAAAGAUACCCUCAGCAUGGAUGGAAACCAUGCAUAGAGUGCAAAGGCAUAAGGGUGUCUGACUGCGAGACAUACAGGUCGAGCAGGGACGAAAGUCGGGCUUAGUGAUCCGGCGGAUCCGAAUGGAAGGGCCGUCGCUCAACGGAUAAAAGCUACCCUGGGGAUAACAGGCUGAUCUCCCCCAAGAGUUCACAUCGACGGGGAGGUUUGGCACCUCGAUGUCGGCUCAUCGCAUCCUGGAGCUGAAGUCGGUUCCAAGGGUUGGGCUGUUCGCCCAUUAAAGCGGUACGCGAGCUGGGUUCAGAACGUCGUGAGACAGUUCGGUCCCUAUCUGUCGUGGGCGCAGGAGGUUUGAGGAGAGCUGCCCCUAGUACGAGAGGACCGGGGUGGACGGACCGAUGGUGCACCAGUUGUCACGCCAGUGGCACAGCUGGGCAGCCAAGUCCGGACGGGAUAAGCGCUGAAGGCAUCUAAGCGUGAAGCCCCCUCCAAGAUGAGACCUCCCAUUGGCGACAAGUAAGGCCCCUCGAAGACGACGAGGUUGAUAGGCCGCGAGUGCAAGCGCAGCGAUGUGCUUAGCGGGGCGGUACUAAUAGGCCGAGGACUUGGCCAA
This 1762-nucleotide ribosomal RNA is filed under the name human gut metagenome. RNAcentral describes it as "bacterial LSU rRNA". It matches the Rfam family "Bacterial large subunit ribosomal RNA", at positions 1134 to 2925 of the family's 2925-position model. The record is from RNAcentral.